AGAAUCAACGCUGGCGGCGUGCCUCAGACAUGCAAGUCGAACGCGAAAGCCCCCUUCGGGGGGCAAGUAGAGUGGCGCACGGGUGAGUAACACGUAGGUAAUCUACCUUCGGAUGGGGAAUAACAAUCGGAAACGAUUGCUAAUACCGCAUAAUGCAGCGGCACCUAAUGGUGACAGUUGUUAAAGCGGGGAUCGAAAGACCUCGCGUCUGAAGAGGAGCCUGCGGCGGAUUAGCUAGUUGGUAAGGUAACGGCUUACCAAGGCGAUGAUCCGUA
Molecule: ribosomal RNA, 275 nt
Filed under: uncultured bacterium
Lineage: Bacteria
Description: partial small subunit ribosomal RNA
Rfam family: Bacterial small subunit ribosomal RNA
Source: RNAcentral